UGUGCACAAAGUGUCAAGUCUGACAGAGCCAGGUUCUUUUCCUCUGCCUGGUUUUGGACUUAAGCAGUCUUUAGAUGCAGAAUGUAGAGGGGUGGCAUAAAAACUUUUAGGAAAGUUAUACUUAUUUUUAAAUAUUCUUAAUACAAUUUUAAAAGAGUUUUUAUUGUUGUGGAGGGGUUUUGAGACCCUACACAGCAUCCCUGUAACCCUGGCUGGCCUAGAAAUCACUUUAUAGACCGGGGUGGCCUCAAAUUCACAGAUAUCUUCCUACCUCUGCUUCCUGAGUUCUGUGAUUACAAGCGUCCACCACUGGGCCCAGAAAAAGAUUAUAUUGCUUUUUAAAAUGUUUUUUUAAAUGUUAUGUAUGCGAGAGUUUGACUGCACACCAGUAAGUGCACCAUGGAGUAUUCGGUGUUUGCAGAGACCAACAGAACAUGCCGGAUCCUCUGGAAUUGGAGUUACAGGGUCCCUGAGCCUCUCCUCCCACUUUCCUACAGCACCCAGCAAGUUUGAAAGACAACUAAGAAGGAUCUCAGUAAAAAGGGGCUGCUGUAAUGUGGGACCACUCACUGUUUGAUGCCACUCUGGAGGCUGAACCCCAUGUCCUAAUUAAUAUAGAGGCACAGCUUGGUGGAGACAGGCAUGAUGCCUGGGAUCCAAGGGCCAGGUCUCCAGCCAGCUGGCGUGCCACAGAGACAGGGUGCCUACUCACCCAAGUCAGGGGUUCGCAGGGGGCAGGAGGGGUUUCGAGAAGAAACAGAGCAGUUUGAAGAGCUGCAUCAAAGUGUGUGAUGUGGAAAGAGGAACAGAGACAUUACAUUUAAGAAAGAAAGACCCCAGCGGAUGGAUUAACAGAUCCAGGUGAAGACACAUCUGAGAAUUGGAAAAGACAACCUUACAAGGCAUUUCUCAGCGCUACAUUCCGGGGAAGGCAACUGAGAAGUGAAGCAUGCAAGAACUAAAUUGUAAAAUUUAUACCCAGUGAGACGUUCAGAAGUGGGAGGGAAUGAGUAGUGAGCACACUGAGAAAGGAUGGGUUUUUAACUCAGUUUUGAGGUAAAAUGUGUGUGUGUGUAUUUGUGUGUGCCAGAAGCCAACCUUUGUGUCAUCCUCUGACAUUCUCUCUGUCUUGGUUUUUGAAAUAGGGUCUCUCAGUUUUACCUGGAGGUCUCCAAUUUAGUCAGAAAGGCUGGCCAGUGAGGCCCAGGAACCUCACCUCAUCUUAGCCUCUCUGGGACUGGGAUUGCACAAAUAUGUGUGUACCAGCAUGCCCAGCUUUUUACAUAGGUUCUGGAGACAAAACUCAGGUCCUCAGUCUUGGGAGAAAAGCGUUCAGCCUGAGCCAUCUCCACAGCCCCUGGUGCAGAGAGAAGAACAUUGUAAUUGAUUUGGGCUUGCUUUUUUUUUUAGCAUUUUAUCUAUCAAUUAUAAAUUAAAAUUUGUC
Non-coding RNA from Cricetulus griseus (Chinese hamster), 1444 nucleotides. Lineage: Eukaryota; Metazoa; Chordata; Mammalia; Rodentia; Cricetidae. The record is from RefSeq and is a predicted model, not a curated record.